RNAcentral lists this ribosomal RNA (118 nucleotides) under Castor canadensis (American beaver). Lineage: Eukaryota; Metazoa; Chordata; Mammalia; Rodentia; Castoridae. The record is from RNAcentral.
UUCGGCUGUACCACCCUAAAUGUGCCCGAGCUUGCCUGGUCUCAGAAGCUAAGCAGUGUCGGGCCUGAUCAGUUUUUGGAUGGGAGACAUCUUCGGAGGAGACCGCUCACAGACAAGU